GAUGAACGCUGGCGGCGUGCCUAAUACAUGCAAGUCGAGCGAACAGACGAGGAGCUUGCUCCUCUGACGUUAGCGGCGGACGGGUGAGUAACACGUGGAUAACCUACCUAUAAGACUGGGAUAACUUCGGGAAACCGGAGCUAAUACCGGAUAAUAUAUUGAACCGCAUGGUUCAAUAGUGAAAGACGGUUUUGCUGUCACUUAUAGAUGGAUCCGCGCCGCAUUAGCUAGUUGGUAAGGUAACGGCUUACCAAGGCAACGAUGCGUAGCCGACCUGAGAGAGUGAUCAGCAACACUGGAACUGAGACACGGUCCAGACUCCUACGGGAGGCAGCAGUAGGGAAUCUUCCGCAAUGGGCGAAAGCUUGACGGAGCAAAGCCGCGUGAGUGAUGAAGGUCUUCGGAUCGUAAAACUCUGUUAUUAGGGAAGAACAAAUGUGUAAGUAACUAUGCACGUCUUGACGGUACCUAAUCAGAAAGCCACGGCUAACUGCGUG
This 497-nucleotide ribosomal RNA is filed under the name uncultured bacterium. RNAcentral's name for it is "partial 16S ribosomal RNA". It matches the Rfam family "Bacterial small subunit ribosomal RNA", at positions 28 to 507 of the family's 1533-position model. The record is from RNAcentral.